UUUUAUGAUUUUAUCAUUAGAUAAAAGAAAUAAGUGAUUAUGCUAACUUUGUUAAGAAUCCAACAUUUUUCUUUAGAAUGAUAAUUGAAUGUUUCAUUGAACUAUAAAAAAGGGAAAUAUAAUUAUAAAUUGGACAAAGAAUAAAAAUUGAAGUAGGUAUACUGUAAUGUGAGAACUAAGUUGAAAAUGUUAAUAUAAACUAAUGACAUUUAGUAAAGUAUACCUUUUUGAACUCUGUUCAAUGAAAUGACCAACCAAUAAUAUUACUCCACCAUGAUGAGCCUGAGCACAUGCACUCCUAAUGCCUAAAUUUGGGGGUCUAAUACUAUUUUUCACUUAAAGGAAACAAUAUGACUUAGGAAAGUGGCUGAUUCAAGUCUGGGUCUAGGAAGGUACAGAUGAGUCUUUGAACAUUUUAUUGAGCCAGAAAGCAAGAAUGCUUUCAAAAAUAAUGAUGUUGCAUGGAAGAACACAGAAGCCAGUUUAAAGGGACACUCAUUGGCAAUUUGAGCAUCAAAAGGAAAAUGAUGACUAUGAGAUGUUCAGCACAUUUGAAUCACUAAAGCUACUUGUGCCUGCCAUGAUAUGCCGUCUAUGAAGUGAUGCUGCUUAUGUAGUAAUGUCUCUCACUCCAACAGAGACCCCUCUCAUGGAGGAGCAACAAGCCAAGGGGCUCCGCAGGAAUGAUUCCAGCUCUCAGUGAUGCAAUCUGUCUGGGAACGAGAGGAAGACCAUCUGUUGACCCUCAGAAUCAACGUGCUUUCCUGAACCUCUUUCCCUGUAGUUAGUGCCCCUGCUCUGUUUUCUGCAUACCUUGCCAAGCCCCCCAAUUUCUAGGGUCUAGAAAGCCUCCACUUUAUGGAGUAUGAGAUUCUCCAUCAUUCCCCUGGGGCCUAGGCUUGUUCCUGCUCAGCCCCCACUGGACAAUGGCUUUCUGGAGGAGAGGCCGAGGAUGGGACUUGGGACUUAUCUAGAAUACAGUCCUCUAAAUUCAGGCUGAAGGGGGACCCCCAAGAUGUCCUUCCUUCCCAGGUCAAACUUGAACUCAAUUAAAAUGGUGUGUAUGACUCUUCUGAAGGAAGGCUGGUCUUUCACCUGGCAUCCCCCUAGGCUCUUAAAAGCAGGGAAGAAUGAAGAGGAAGUGGGCCCCUUCCCUUCAUCACUGGUCACCGU
RNAcentral lists this long non-coding RNA (1173 nucleotides) under Equus caballus (horse). RNAcentral's name for it is "lncRNA (ENSECAG00000043965.1)". The record is from RNAcentral. Lineage: Eukaryota; Metazoa; Chordata; Mammalia; Perissodactyla; Equidae.